UCUUUUUUUUUCAACAAGUUUUUUUUUUUCCAUUUCACUUCACCAAUUUGGACUAUUUUGUGUAUGUCCAUUACAUGAAAUCCAAAUCCAUUUAAAGUACAGGUUGUAAUGGAACAAAAUAGGAAAACUGCUGAAGGGGGUGAAUACUUUUGCAAGGCACUGUAGGUAAGCUGGAUAACAUCAGAAAGACAGAGACAAUUGGCCAGGCAGGGUGAGGGUGUCCUGUCCUUCCAGGAGGGACGCCUGUCAGGGUGAACUGCCUGACUGCUGCAGUUUAUCCUUGGACACCUUGAUCGACCUCAAAAGGCUUGGAUUCCCCACUAUUCCAAUGAUGUCAUCUGAACUGGUGUAAACCCUGCUGGCUCCCCAGCCUAACCACAAAAGAGAGAAGGGAGAGGUGGGACAUCGUCUGGACAGAACAUCAAGAUCAAAUCCAUUGGCGCAAGCAUGAACCUUUCCCGUAUUCUGCUGCUUCGAUCAACAUCUGCACCAUUUCGAUCGCCGCCAUUUUCAACAAUAACACUGAUAAAAUGACAAUCAGAUACAGAAUUUGGAUAGCUAGCUACUCAACUGCU
Molecule: long non-coding RNA, 575 nt
Organism: Oncorhynchus kisutch (coho salmon)
Lineage: Eukaryota; Metazoa; Chordata; Actinopteri; Salmoniformes; Salmonidae
Exons: 3
Source: RefSeq, a predicted model, not a curated record